UAAAGUCGGAAUAGUUCUGUAUAUACAACGACCUACUGUAACAUGUACGGAUUCUCAAGCUACUUUUUGCUUUUCACGGUUCUGGAUCUCGACGUCGUCGCAGUUUCUACAUUCCGCGGGACAAGUGCACAAGCAUGCGUGCAACUACUCAACCCCUCGUUGCACUGGGUCUUGAGCAAGAACAAGCAGUGCAGAACAGUGCGAGAAUCGGUUGAUUUAACUGAGACAGUUAACAAUGAAUAAUGGUACAUCGUGGAGAUCGCGGCCAAAGUGCAACGGACAGACCGCUCUGGUUGGAUAUGGACAUGUUUCGGAGAGGACAAAAAUUCGCACAAAAACACAUCUUCUCGAUCUUCCUCGCUAACAUGCUGUCACUGUUCCAAAUAUUUACUUUUAAAGACAGUCUUAAACCGAUAAUUUUGAUCCGGCAAUCUCACACGUCGUACUUAGCGUUUAAAGUUUAAAAAGUAUACUUGCUGAUCUAUUGCUUGCCGUGUGAGAAACUGGAUGACAGAGGAUCCUUGGACCGAAGGUACAAAGAUUCAUCAAGACAUUCAAGCUGGGAUGCAUCGUGCGAUACGGCUGAAACUUUGCGAGUACGAUCAUGAGGAACUCGAUGCGGCCACUAAAAUCUCGAACCCUGAUGAUGCCGGAAUAGAAAAACAAUCCUAGAAGAUUUUUCUUCCUGUCCGUAUCCGACCGUGGCAAACGGUUGUCUUCAUCUACUGU
Molecule: non-coding RNA, 729 nt
Organism: Linepithema humile (Argentine ant)
Lineage: Eukaryota; Metazoa; Arthropoda; Insecta; Hymenoptera; Formicidae
Source: RefSeq, a predicted model, not a curated record